RNAcentral lists this ribosomal RNA (465 nucleotides) under uncultured bacterium. RNAcentral describes it as "partial 16S ribosomal RNA". It matches the Rfam family "Bacterial small subunit ribosomal RNA", at positions 28 to 507 of the family's 1533-position model. The record is from RNAcentral.
GACGAACGCUGGCGGCGUGCUUAACACAUGCAAGUCGUACGGUAAGGCCCUUUCGGGGGUCCCCGAGUGGCGAACGGGUGAGUAACACGUGCGUAACCUCCCCACAACUUUGGGAUAACGCUAGGAAACUGGUGCUAAUACUGGAUAUGUGCUCCUUCUGCAUGGUGGGGGUUGGAAAGCUCCGGCGGUUGUGGAUGGACUCGCGGCCUAUCAGCUUGUUGGUGGGGUAGUGGCCUACCAAGGCGGCGGCGGGUAGCCGGCCUGAGAGGGUGACCGGCCGCAGUGGGACUGGGAGACGGCCAAGACUCCGACUGGAGGGAGCAGUGGGGAAUAUUGCAAAAGGGGCGCAAGCCUGAGGCAGCAACGCCGCGGGCGGGAGGACGGUCUUCGGGUUGUAAACCGAAUUCAGCAGGGACGAAGCUGUUUGUGACGGUACCGGCAGAAGAAGCACCGGCUAACUACGUG